RNAcentral lists this ribosomal RNA (364 nucleotides) under uncultured bacterium. Its description in RNAcentral is "partial 16S ribosomal RNA". It matches the Rfam family "Bacterial small subunit ribosomal RNA", at positions 338 to 693 of the family's 1533-position model. The record is from RNAcentral.
CCUACGGGAGGCAGCAGUGGGGAAUCUUGGGCAAUGGGCGAAAGCCUGACCCAGCGACGCCGCGUGGGGGAUGAAGGCCUUCGGGUUGUAAACCCCUGUCAGGUGGGACGAUGGUUCGCUGACCUAAUACGUCGGCGGAUUGACGGUACCACCAGAGGAAGCCCCGGCUAACUACGUGCCAGCAGCCGCGGUAAUACGUAGGGGGCAAGCGUUGCUCGGAUUUACUGGGCGUAAAGGGCGUGUAGGCGGCCAGGCAAGUCAGGUGUGAAAGUCCUCGGCUCAACCGAGGUUCCGCGCCUGAAACUACUUGGCUUGAGUCUGGAAGAGGAGGGUGGAAUUCCCGGUGUAGCGGUGAAAUGCGUAG